Molecule: ribosomal RNA, 467 nt
Filed under: uncultured bacterium
Lineage: Bacteria
Description: bacterial SSU rRNA
Rfam family: Bacterial small subunit ribosomal RNA
Source: RNAcentral
AGGACGACGCUGGCGGCGCGCCUAACACAUGCAAGUCGAACGAGAGAGAGGGAGCUUGCUUCCUCGAUCGAGUGGCGAACGGGUGAGUAACGCGUGAGGAACCUGCCUCAAAGAGGGGGACAACAGUUGGAAACGACUGCUAAUACCGCAUAAGCCCACGACCCGGCAUCGGGAAGAGGGAAAAGGAGCAAUCCGCUUUGAGAUGGCCUCGCGUCCGAUUAGCUAGUUGGUGAGGUAACGGCCCACCAAGGCGACGAUCGGUAGCCGGACUGAGAGGUUGAACGGCCACAUUGGGACUGAGACACGGCCCAGACUCCUACGGGAGGCAGCAGUGGGGAAUAUUGCACAAUGGGGGAAACCUUGAUGCAGCGACGCCGCGUGGAGGAAGAAGGUCUUCGGAUUGUAAACUCCUGUUGUUGAGGAAGAUAAUGACGGUACUCAACAAGGAAGUGACGGCUAACUACGUG